This 587-nucleotide ribosomal RNA is filed under the name uncultured bacterium. RNAcentral describes it as "bacterial SSU rRNA". It matches the Rfam family "Bacterial small subunit ribosomal RNA", at positions 338 to 916 of the family's 1533-position model. The record is from RNAcentral.
CCUACGGGAGGCAGCAGUGGGGAAUCUUGCGCAAUGGGCGGAAGCCUGACGCAGCAACGCCGCGUGCGGGAAGAAGGCCUUAGGGUCGUAAACCGCUUUCAGGGGGGACGAAGCUUCCGGGGUUAAUAGCCUACGGGGUGACGGUACUCCCAAAAGAAGGUCCGGCUAACUACGUGCCAGCAGCCGCGGUAAUACGUAGGGACCGAGCGUUGUCCGGAAUCAUUGGGCGUAAAGAGCGUGUAGGCGGCCUAGUAGGUCUCGUGUGAAAUCCCGUGGCUCAACCACGGACACGCACGGGAAACCCCUAGGCUCGAGUCCGGAAGAGGAGAGCGGAAUUCCUGGUGUAGCGGUGAAAUGCGCAGAUAUCAGGAAGAACACCCGUAGCGAAGGCGGCUCUCUGGGACGGUACUGACGCUGAGACGCGAAAGCGUGGGGAGCAAACAGGAUUAGAUACCCUGGUAGUCCACGCCGUAAACGAUGGAUGCUAGGUGUGGGAGGUGUCGACUCCUCCCGUGCCGAAGCUAACGCAUUAAGCAUCCCGCCUGGGGAGUACGGCCGCAAGGCUAAAACGUCAAAGGAAUUGACGG